RNAcentral lists this ribosomal RNA (253 nucleotides) under uncultured bacterium. Its description in RNAcentral is "partial 16S ribosomal RNA". It matches the Rfam family "Bacterial small subunit ribosomal RNA", at positions 524 to 776 of the family's 1533-position model. The record is from RNAcentral.
UACGUAGGGGGCAAGCGUUGUCCGGAAUUAUUGGGCGUAAAGAGCGUGUAGGCGGCCCGGCAAGUCCGCCGUGAAAGUCCAGGGCUCAACCCUGGAAUGCCGGUGGAAACUGUCGGGCUUGAGUUCGGAAGAGGCGAGUGGAAUUCCUGGUGUAGCGGUGAAAUGCGCAGAUAUCAGGAGGAACACCAAUGGCGAAGGCAGCUCGCUGGGACGACACUGACGCUGAGGCGCGAAAGCGUGGGGAGCAAACAGG